This is a non-coding RNA of Parelaphostrongylus tenuis, 72 nucleotides long. NCBI's taxonomy places the organism in Eukaryota, Metazoa, Nematoda, Chromadorea, Rhabditida, Metastrongylidae. The record is from the annotation of a GenBank genome assembly.
GCGCGGGUAAUGCAGUGGUUAGCACGUGCCUCUGGAAAGGGUGAAGUGCGGGUUCGAAUCCUGUUCAACGUC